ACACAUGUAGCUUAGUGGAUAAAAUGUUUGUUUCCUAAACAUGAGGUUACUAGUUCGACCCCUGUCUAGCAUA
Molecule: transfer RNA, 73 nt
Filed under: Salix viminalis (osier)
Lineage: Eukaryota; Viridiplantae; Streptophyta; Magnoliopsida; Malpighiales; Salicaceae
Source: RNAcentral